GUUACAGAACUAAUAUUUCUAUCGCCAAACAGCUGUUCACAAUUCAAUUAAUUAAUAAGAUAGGGUUCUAGAGUGGUAAUUAAACUUUCAACCUCUUCUUAAUUAAACAAUUGGACAAGGAAUACAUAAAAUCUAAUUAUUUGAGGGCUUGAGCAGUUUCUCCACAUUAAUCUGUUCCAAGUCUUGGAGAACCAGACUCUGGAGUAAUGGCUGUCUUAGAAUCUGAGACUAGAAUGCCGAACGACUUUCUGGCCUCUCCUGGGAAAUUACCAGAUCCUGUGACCAAACACCAAGGAAUAUCUCCCAUUGUUCCUUUUUUGUGAAUGAAAACAAACAUUGUGGAUUAUGUCGCUGGAAGUGUUGAGUGACUGCUCGUUGGAUCAGGAAGAGCCAAGUCCCUAGUGACUACGUGAUUGACGAAGCUUCCAGCAUAACGAAAUUGUACUUAGCAGUUUUCCUGCCGUUUCGGCUUUUGAAGGAGCUGUGAUUUAGAACUAAAAAAUACAAUAUUAAAUGUAACUAAAGAACCUA
Molecule: long non-coding RNA, 531 nt
Organism: Drosophila eugracilis
Lineage: Eukaryota; Metazoa; Arthropoda; Insecta; Diptera; Drosophilidae
Exons: 3
Source: RefSeq, a predicted model, not a curated record